GCACAAGCAGUGGAGUAUGUGGUUUAAUUCGAAGCAACGCGAAGAACCUUACCAGGUCUUGACAUCCGAUGCAUAGCACAGAGAUGUGUGAAAUCCUUCGGGACAUCGAGACAGGUGGUGCAUGGUUGUCGUCAGCUCGUGUCGUGAGAUGUUGGGUUAAGUCCCGCAACGAGCGCAACCCUUAUCGCCAGUUACUACGUUAAGAGGACUCUGGCGAGACUGCCGUUGACAAAA
This 234-nucleotide ribosomal RNA is filed under the name uncultured bacterium. RNAcentral's name for it is "partial 16S ribosomal RNA". It matches the Rfam family "Bacterial small subunit ribosomal RNA", at positions 923 to 1163 of the family's 1533-position model. The record is from RNAcentral.